UAUUAUUAUCUUAAAAUAAAGAAUUUGUUUUGAAAACAAAAAAUAAAUAAUUAAA
This 55-nucleotide transfer RNA is filed under the name Orseolia oryzae (Asian rice gall midge). RNAcentral's name for it is "tRNA-Ser". Lineage: Eukaryota; Metazoa; Arthropoda; Insecta; Diptera; Cecidomyiidae. The record is from RNAcentral.